ACCGGGGGAACUGAAACAUCUAAGUACCCCGAGGAAAAGAAAUCAACCGAGAUUCCCCCAGUAGCGGCGAGCGAACGGGGAGCAGCCCAGAGCCUGAAUCAGUGUGUGUGUUAGUGGAAGCGUCUGGAAAGGCGCGCGAUACAGGGUGACAGCCCCGUACACAAAAAUGCACAUGCUGUGAGCUCGAUGAGUAGGGCGGGACACGUGGUAUCCUGUCUGAAUAUGGGGGGACCAUCCUCCAAGGCUAAAUACUCCUGACUGACCGAUAGUGAACCAGUACCGUGAGGGAAAGGCGAAAAGAACCCCGGCGAGGGGAGUGAAAAAGAACCUGAAACCGUGUACGUACAAGCAGUGGGAGCCUCUUUUAUGGGGUGACUGCGUACCUUUUGUAUAAUGGGUCAGCGACUUAUAUUCUGUAGCAAGGUUAACCGAAUAGGGGAGCCGAAGGGAAACCGAGUCUUAACUGGGCGUUAAGUUGCAGGGUAUAGACCCGAAACCCGGUGAUCUAGCCAUGGGCAGGUUGAAGGUUGGGUAACACUAACUGGAGGACCGAACCGACUAAUGUUGAAAAAUUAGCGGAUGACUUGUGGCUGGGGGUGAAAGGCCAAUCAAACCGGGAGAUAGCUGGUUCUCCCCGAAAGCUAUUUAGGUAGCGCCUCGUGAAUUCAUCUCCGGGGGUAGAGCACUGUUUCGGCAAGGGGGUCAUCCCGACUUACCAACCCGAUGCAAACUGCGAAUACCGGAGAAUGUUAUCACGGGAGACACACGGCGGGUGCUAACGUCCGUCGUGAAGAGGGAAACAACCCAGACCGCCAGCUAAGGUCCCAAAGUCAUGGUUAAGUGGGAAACGAUGUGGGAAGGCCCAGACAGCCAGGAUGUUGGCUUAGAAGCAGCCAUCAUUUAAAGAAAGCGUAAUAGCUCACUGGUCGAGUCGGCCUGCGCGGAAGAUGUAACGGGGCUAAACCAUGCACCGAAGCUGCGGCAGCGACGCUUAUGCGUUGUUGGGUAGGGGAGCGUUCUGUAAGCCUGUGAAGGUGUCCUGUGAGGGUUGCUGGAGGUAUCAGAAGUGCGAAUGCUGACAUAAGUAACGAUAAAGCGGGUGAAAAGCCCGCUCGCCGGAAGACCAAGGGUUCCUGUCCAACGUUAAUCGGGGCAGGGUGAGUCGACCCCUAAGGCGAGGCCGAAAGGCGUAGUCGAUGGGAAACAGGUUAAUAUUCCUGUACUUGGUGUUACUGCGAAGGGGGGACGGAGAAGGCUAUGUUGGCCGGGCGACGGUUGUCCCGGUUUAAGCGUGUAGGCUGGUUUUCCAGGCAAAUCCGGAAAAUCAAGGCUGAGGCGUGAUGACGAGGCACUACGGUGCUGAAGCAACAAAUGCCCUGCUUCCAGGAAAAGCCUCUAAGCAUCAGGUAACAUCAAAUCGUACCCCAAACCGACACAGGUGGUCAGGUAGAGAAUACCAAGGCGCUUGAGAGAACUCGGGUGAAGGAACUAGGCAAAAUGGUGCCGUAACUUCGGGAGAAGGCACGCUGAUAUGUAGGUGAAGCGACUUGCUCGUGGAGCUGAAAUCAGUCGAAGAUACCAGCUGGCUGCAACUGUUUAUUAAAAACACAGCACUGUGCAAACACGAAAGUGGACGUAUACGGUGUGACGCCUGCCCGGUGCCGGAAGGUUAAUUGAUGGGGUUAGCGGUAACGCGAAGCUCUUGAUCGAAGCCCCGGUAAACGGCGGCCGUAACUAUAACGGUCCUAAGGUAGCGAAAUUCCUUGUCGGGUAAGUUCCGACCUGCACGAAUGGCGUAAUGAUGGCCAGGCUGUCUCCACCCGAGACUCAGUGAAAUUGAACUCGCUGUGAAGAUGCAGUGUACCCGCGGCAAGACGGAAAGACCCCGUGAACCUUUACUAUAGCUUGACACUGAACAUUGAGCCUUGAUGUGUAGGAUAGGUGGGAGGCUUUGAAGUGUGGACGCCAGUCUGCAUGGAGCCGACCUUGAAAUACCACCCUUUAAUGUUUGAUGUUCUAACGUUGGCCCCUGAUCGGGGUUGCGGACAGUGUCUGGUGGGUAGUUUGACUGGGGCGGUCUCCUCCUAAAGAGUAACGGAGGAGCACGAAGGUUGGCUAAUCCUGGUCGGACAUCAGGAGGUUAGUGCAAUGGCAUAAGCCAGCUUGACUGCGAGCGUGACGGCGCGAGCAGGUGCGAAAGCAGGUCAUAGUGAUCCGGUGGUUCUGAAUGGAAGGGCCAUCGCUCAACGGAUAAAAGGUACUCCGG
This 2266-nucleotide ribosomal RNA is filed under the name human gut metagenome. Its description in RNAcentral is "bacterial LSU rRNA". It matches the Rfam family "Bacterial large subunit ribosomal RNA", at positions 183 to 2471 of the family's 2925-position model. The record is from RNAcentral.